RNAcentral lists this long non-coding RNA (7062 nucleotides) under Sus scrofa (pig). RNAcentral's name for it is "lncRNA (ENSSSCG00050001416.1)". Lineage: Eukaryota; Metazoa; Chordata; Mammalia; Artiodactyla; Suidae. The record is from RNAcentral.
UCUUUUAUAAAAAAUUUUAUUGAAACAUCAUCUAAAGGGACAAAAGACAAAAACAAACAAACAAAAAAAGAAACAUAGUCUAUUUACAGGGUCGUGUUCAGGUAUAUGGCAAAGUGAUUUCGUUAUACACACAGACAUAUAUCUACUUUUUUUUACAUUCUCUUCUCUAUCACAGGUCAUUGCAUGAUAUUGAGCAAGUUUCCUGUGCUCUACAGUAGGUCCUUGUUGCUUGUCCAUUUUAUAUAUAGAGUAGGGUGUAUAGAUUAAUCCCAAACUGGAUGCUUCUCUGAAUGGUACAAAAAUGUUGAUGGCUAAGAGAAGAUCUUAUGAAAGCAGAAGUCCUUGACCUUGGCCUCACUUAGGAUAAUCUCCUAAGAAGGCUGAAAAAUCCCGUUGGCCCUGGGAUUCUUGCUUGAAUCUCAUGGGUAGGACUCAGGCAUCGUAUUUUUAAUUAUCCAGGUGAUUCCACGUGCAGUCGAGUCCCAGAGCCCCCGGUGAGAGCCAACCACAACAUCCAAGCUCAAGGCCAUGGGAAGAAGGUAAGAAUGAAUAGACAACAGUAGGAAGGAUCUCUCCUGUGUGAGGUUUUCGUCACUUGGUAACAAUGGUUUGUAAAAUACAUCUUCAAGGAGUUCCCGCUAUGGGGCACUAGGAUAGGUGGGGCGCACAGGGUUUGAUCCCUGGCCCUGCACAGUGGGUUAGCUUGCAACUGUGGCUCGGAUCUGACCCCUGGCCCAGGAACUCCCUAGGCUGUGAGGCGGCCGAAAAAGAAAAAAAUAAAAAUCUUCAAAAGCAUGUGUUUGAAAUACACCUCUUCCCCCUAUCAUGGCAAAGACGGCUACGGGUCUGACCAUGAUCCAGACCUGUCGGAUUUGGGACUUGAAAUAUGGCAGAAGUGGAAUGGGCUUGCCUUUGGGGAAAGAGGCUGCAGGAUGUUAAAGCCACGGGUUCUAAAGAGUCGAGUCAGAACCUGACCUCAGUGACAUGACAGAUAGGCUUGCCCAAACGGUAGGAACAGUAUUUCUUCUGGUCAUUUCUCCAGAAAGCGUAUCCAGAAAAACCCAAGCUGCGAUUUCUGCGAGAGAGCACAAGAAUUCCAAAAUAUUCAUCGUGGUUAUUUUGACCAAAGUUUGAAAGCUGAGACCAUGGUAGUCAGCAAACAUGAAGUGUUAAAAUUCAUGGCUGAAGGAAUAACUUCUCCUUGGAGCACGCACGUCGCUCACGUGGGCCGCGGGGUGAUGACUGCGGGCUGCCCCUCUCUGGUUCCGUGUGGGAAGGAAUACUGCAUUAAAUUUGAUUUAAAUGGCCCCAGAAAAGGCAAUUUAGCACAUGUGCGUGAGCAUUUUAUUAUCGAGAGGAAAUUCAUUUCACAGGCAGAGAACCCACAACAAGACAUAUCAUGGUUGACAGUAUUCGGCGUCCUCGUUAAUGAUUCCAAGAGAGCCGCAGCGCCGAGACGUGACAAAGAAGCCUGACAUCGCAGGUUUGGGCCGAAUGCAAAGCGGCCAGGUCCUUGCAGCAAUGCUUUCCAGAUGCCCUGCCUUUUCCCGGCCAGAUCCCUGCCCACGGGACAUGGCACUGCCCCCAGGAGGACGCCUCCUAAGGCGCUCUGGAUAAAAAGAUGGGUUGGAGAGUAUGUAUUGAUUCUGACAGGGGAAGCGCCCCAUCUGGCCAUCAUCUCAGAAACGGGGGUUUUGGAAACCCAAGACGAAUGAAACCCGAUUCAGAAUUAACCCAGGACACACACUAUGAAUUAUGACACGAGACGCAGGCUCGGUACAAUAAAAAGACCCAAUGUGCCAAAUCGGAACAUGACUGCAACUCAUGACAAUUGCCUCUUCUGCGUGGGAGGCACUGCGCACAGGCUGAGGUCUCUCCUUUCUGGAUGCAUGCGACCGGAGAUACAAGCGUGUCCUUCGUUCUUGAAUGCUUGUGAUGUUUUCUCUCGCUUCCUCUCUGCCCCUUCCAGGAUUCACCUUUUCCUUUAGUUUUCUAUUCACUUUGAUAGAACCGAGCCCUGUGUCUCUGAACGUUUGUCUGGCUUGGAUGGGCCACGUCUUUUCCGCAGGCUCUAACUCAGCACCCUGCCUACUCAACAAACACACCUUUAGGGGGAGUGCGUGACUAAAGCUGGGAGGCAUACUGUCUUCUAUCUUUCCAGUCUGUUUUACCUGCACUGACUUCAGGACCUUGUCCUUUACUACUUCUGGAGCUUCCUCAAGACUCAGGGCUCAGGGCUCUUUCCAGCCGUGGAGCCCUCAUCAGUUCUCAUGGACAACAGGUGCGGUGAGCCGCAGCGCGUGUGGGUGCAAAGACCCCCUCGAGGCAACAGAGAGAGGUGGCAGGGAACCAGGUAUGUGGGGCUGGGAUUGAACAGGUAGCCUCGGGGGAAUGUGGGCAGACGGGACUUGGGAUUCGGUGAGCUGGGAGGCCACUUCUUAGCUGUGUAGGAAGGCUGGAUGUGAACUGGACAUGAGCGUGGUGAGGAAGCAGAAAGUGCACCCAUGGGGAAGGCGAGGCAAGGCUGGGGCUGGACCUGACCGAGGCUGGAGAUGGAGGAGAGAAGCCUUGUCUGGUUCAGAGGUAUGGUGGCCAGGAGCCACAUUCCACAGGGCUUGCUCCCCCUGGUGCUGAGGGGGUACCCCACUGGAGCAGCCCAGGGAUGGGCCGUGCUUAAGGAAAUGCACGAGGCAAAAGCCUGUGCUGUGAUUUUCCAGGGCGUGAUUAUAGUCAUGGGUGCAGAAAUCUCUGCCCUUCGAAUAGCCUGAGCAUUUGGAAAAAUCUCCUGCCUAUGUAAAGUCCCAGGCGAGGGGUCCAAUCGGAGCUGCAGCUGCCAGCCUACACCAUAGCCACAGCCCCGCGGAUCUCAGCCUCGUCUGAGACCUGCACCAUAGCUCACAGCAAUGCCGGAUCCUUAACCCACUGAGCAAGGCCAGGGAUCCAAGGCACAUUUUCAUGGAUCCUAGUUUGUAACCUGCUGAGCCACAAUAGGAACUCCCCAAAAGCUUCUUAAGGGCACAACGGGGAGACUUCUUGUGCUUCUUAGAUCAUCCAUAGAGUUCUGCAUGGCUGCUGAUUAAACUUUUCUCUUGUUUCAGUUACAUCAAGACCUCCAACACUUAGCAUCACCUUCUGGACCAACUAGAGGACAGUCAGUUAAAUUUGAAAUUCAGAUAAACGAUGAAUGCCUUUUUAGUCUUGAAGUCCGUCCUGAAUGUCGUAAGAGAUAUGCUUGUAUUAAAAAAUGACUCCUUGUUGAUCUAAAACUCUCAGUAGGCAUUCUGCGGGGUUUUUUGUUUGUUUGUUUGUUUGUUUUUGCCUUUUAUUUUUUUUUAUUUUAUGGCUGCACCUGCGGCUAUGGAGGUUCCCAGGCUAAGCGUCCCAUCAGAGCUGCAGCUGCCAUCCUACACCACAGCCACUGCAACACCAGAUCCGAGCCGUGUCUGCGACCUACACCAUAGCUCAUGGCAACGCUGGAUCCUUAACCCACUGAGCAAGGCCAGGGAUGGAACAUGUGGUCCUCAUGGAUGCUCGUCAGAUUCGUUUCCACUGAGCCCCGAUGGGAAAUCUUCAGCAUUUUUAUUUACCACAUCUGGGAAGCCCACUCAUGGCAGAUUUAAUGCCCAAUACAUGACUGGAGUGCAGUACUUUCUAAGGAAAUGCAAAAGUAGCAGGUGUCUCACCUUCCACCAGUGAAGAGGGGGCACAGAGAAGAAGCGCCUUGAGCCAGAGGGAGGAGACCAGACUGAAAGGCAAAUGUACAGAAACCAUCCCCUGAAGCUAAGAUCUGAGGACGCACAAGCUAUAAUUCAACUCAGGUUGGAUCACUGAUGAGGGCGUCACGGACGUGGACGGAAAGCUGCCUUAAAGACACAGAUUUUCAGGCAAAUGGGGAAGCCAGGUGUACUGGUCACCGAGAGCUGCCCGAACAAGGACCACAGACGGGGCAGCUUAAGCAACGGACAUUCAUCUUUUCAGUCAUGGAGGCUGGAGUCUGAGACCCUGGUGUGGGCAGGGCUGGUCCCUCUGGAGGCCUCUCUCUUGGGCGUGUCAACGGGCAUCUCCUCCCCGUGUCCUCACAGGGCCGUCCCUGGGGUUAUGUCUGCAUCCUGAUCUCCUCUUCUUCUAAAGCCCCCUGUCCUGGGGAUCAGGACCCCCUCUAGGGACCUCAUGGUACAUUCACCCCUCUGGAAAGACCCAUCUCCAAACACAGUCACAUUCCGAGAUCCUGGGGGUUCGGACUUGAAUAUGUGAAUGGAGGGGUGGGUAUCAUUUAGCCCAGAAGAACAGGUGGACGUCCUCAGAGAAGACAAUGCUGUCAACACAACCAGCCAAGUUCACUCACCACUUACUACACAGUACCGUCAACACAACCAGCCAAGUUCGCUCACCACUUACUACACAGUACCAUAAACCCAACCAGCCAAGUUCACUCACAACUUACUACACAGUACCAUCAACACAACCAGCCAAGUUCACUCACAACUUACUACACAGUACCAUCAACACAACCAGCCAAGUUCAUUCACCACUUACUACACAGUACUGUCAGCACAACCAGCCAAGUUCACUCACAACUUACUACACAGUACCAUCAACACAACCAGCCAAGUUCCCUCACCACUUACUACACAGUACCGUAAACACAACCAGCCAAGUUCACUCUCCACUUACUACACAUACCAUCAACACAACCAGCCAAGUUCACUCUCCACUUACUACACAGUACCAUAAACCCAACCAGCCAAGUUCACUCACAACUUACUACACAGUACCAUCAACACAACCAGCCAAGUUCGCUCACCACUUACUACACAGUACUGUCAACACAACCAGCCAAGUUCACAGCUCACUUACUAGACAAUAUUGUAAAGACAACCACCCAAGUUCACUCAUCACUGACGUUUCCACUUCAGUGCCAUUCAUUCAUUCUUUUUUUUAUAAAUUUUUCCAAAGCACCAAAAACUCUUUUCCCAGACUGUUAAUGCCAGAGCCUGACCUAGAUGUCACAAAGAGCUACUAAAAUGCCCUGCUCCGAAAGCUGGGGAAGUAAAAAGAACUCACCUUUCUGAGACAAGUGUGAACAUAAUCGCUCCAUCACAAUUACAAAAGGAGGGGUUCAUACAGGUUAUGGAGGGGGGGUUCCUUACAGUGGAAACUCCUACAGGAAACAGCACUCUAUGCAAUCAGUGUAAACUUAGAAAAAUGAGCAUAGAAAACGUUGGAGCACAAAGGCUGACUCUCGAUUCCCAGGGAGGGUAUGUGGUACUUGGAAUGUUGGUAGGGUUUUUAAUUUUUUUGCUAACUUUUUUUUCUUUUUUUAAGGCCAUGCCUGCAGCAUGUAGAUAGUGCCAGGUUAGAGGUCGGAAUUGGAGCUGCAGCUGCAGGUCUACGAGACAGCCACAGCAACACCAGAUCCGAGCCACACCGGCAACCGAUGCGACAGCUCACGGCCACGCCGGAUCCUUUACCCACUGAGCGAGGCCAGGGAUCGAACCCACAUCCUCACAGACACUAUGCUGGGUCCUUAUCUUGCUGAGCCACAAGAACUCCAUAAUUUUUUGCUAAUUUUACUCCCCAUAAGCACUCCCAUAUGAAAAAAAAACUGUUCAAAUGCAGUAUUUUACUUAUGAUCCCAGCCUCCAAACCUUUAGCUCUCCGUGACUUUAAUGACGUUUCUGUCAUCGAGGCUUCCAGAGUUGAUCUCUGUCAGCCCUCGCUGGAGAGAGAUCUGUGGGACAAGGUUCCACUUCCUGGGAGCAAGCAGACGGGGCCGCCGUGUCCCCAGCACCGUGUGUGUCCCCGUGGGAAGCUCGGCUCCCAGUGUGCGCCUGUGCUGGGAGUCAGGACACAGGCACUCUCUUGUUGUCUGAAAAGCCCCCCUUCUCUCGAGGGCGCCUGGAGGAGCUCCGUCUUGGCCAAACCACAUCUGCGGUCCUGCCAUCCCGCCCAGGAUGCGCUGCCUGGCCUCCGCCGUCCUAAGUCUCUCUCCCUAAGAAGUCUCGCAGUCUCACGGGAGUCAAUGGGUCCUACAGAAGCUCCUUUUCCAGGUACACAUACAUGUAUACAUUCUUUUUUCUCACAUCAUGGGUGACCAUGCUGUACAGUAGGAAAAAAUAAUAAUAUAUGGGGGGAAAAUAAUAAUAAAUUAAAAAAAAAAAAAAAAGCAGCAGCUCCUUUUCUGAAGGUGGCCUCGGAAAAGCAGACGAGUUGGGUCCCCAGGCAGACACAGGCGAGGGAGUACCUUUCCCAGACGGACUUCUUGUUCAUUUAAUGCCACCAUAAGGAGGAGCCUGCCCGUUGCUACAGGAGACAUGGAGAGAGAGAACGGCCUUCACCAAAGGGAGCCCGUGGGUCCCCAGCCUUUGAGAUCUGUUAGCUGCGGAAUGGACUGAAAGUAUCUUUUUUAAAAAAUUAAUUAUCCUGGGAGUAUCCAUCGUGGCUCAGUGGAAAGGAAUCUGACGAGCAUCCCUGAGGAUGCAGGUUGAAUCCCUGGCCUCAAUCCGUGGGUUAAGGAUCCAGUGUCGUCGGGAGCUGUGGUGUGGGUCGCAGACGCAGCUCGGAUCUGGCGUUGCUGUGGCUGUAGGGUAGGCUGGUGGCUACAGCUCCAACUGGACCCCAAGCCUGGGAACCUCCACAUGCCGUGGGUGCAGACCUAAAAAGACAAAUGACAAAAAAGACAUGAAUUAUAUUGGCGUAGAGUUGAUUUACAACGUUGUAUGAGUCAGCAAAGUGACUCAGCCUUAAGAGACAUCUGUCCAUUGUUUUUUUUUCCCCAUAAAGGUUAGUUCAGACUAUGGAGGAGAUUUCCCCACGCUCCACAGUAGGUUCUCAGGGACCAUCUCUUUCACUGUCAUGUGUGUCCUUUCAUCCCACUUCUGCCAGGGAUCCCAGCUCAGGAGUCACACCUCCUACGCCGAGCCUGCGCCCUCAAAAAAAGCCGUCAGGGACAUUCACGAUGUGCAGGCUCUGCCCACCCCCAAAUGCCCUGUCCCUCUGGGGAACAGAGAGUCCUCGGAGCCCUUUUUUGGGAAACGGACAGGCUCGUGGUUUCCUGGCCCC